AUUGAACGCUGGCGGCAGGCCUAACACAUGCAAGUCGAGCGGAUGAAGGGAGCUUGCUCCUGGAUUCAGCGGCGGACGGGUGAGUAAUGCCUAGGAAUCUGCCUGGUAGUGGGGGAUAACGUCCGGAAACGGGCGCUAAUACCGCAUACGUCCUGAGGGAGAAAGUGGGGGAUCUUCGGACCUCACGCUAUCAGAUGAGCCUAGGUCGGAUUAGCUAGUUGGUGGGGUAAAGGCCUACCAAGGCGACGAUCCGUAACUGGUCUGAGAGGAUGAUCAGUCACACUGGAACUGAGACACGGUCCAGACUCCUACGGGAGGCAGUAGUGGGGAAUAUUGGACGAUGGGCGAAAGCCUGAUCCAGCCAUGCCGCGUGUGUGAAGAAGGUCUUCGGAUUGUAAAGCACUUUAAGUUGGGAGGAAGGGCAGUAAGUUAAUACCUUGCUGUUUUGACGUUACCAACAGAAUAAGCACCGGCUAACUUCGUG
Molecule: ribosomal RNA, 484 nt
Filed under: uncultured bacterium
Lineage: Bacteria
Description: partial 16S ribosomal RNA
Rfam family: Bacterial small subunit ribosomal RNA
Source: RNAcentral